Non-coding RNA from Oryctolagus cuniculus (rabbit), 1731 nucleotides. The record is from RefSeq and is a predicted model, not a curated record. NCBI's taxonomy places the organism in Eukaryota, Metazoa, Chordata, Mammalia, Lagomorpha, Leporidae.
CACACACGCGCGCGCUCCCCAGCCUCCCCUCGCGAGGCUGCAGGAUCUGGAAGGGAGGAGACGCUGGAGCACAGACUUCGCGUAGACGAGGCCCUCGUUCAGCGAGGGGCAGCCCAGCGUCCUGCGGAUGGAGAUGAACUAAGAAUGUGUUCAACGCACGUACUCAUUGGAUCUUCAGUGCCUGGGACUGAGAAGUGAGACGUGCACCCCCAUUCUCCAGAUGCAGCAACUGAGGCACUGAGAGGUACAGUAAUGUGCCUGAGGACAUGCAGCCAGUUUAAGCAGCAGAACCAGGACUAGAUCACAAGGCACCUGCCAGCACCCUGUUCCCCAAGUACCCUGCUAUGCCGCUAUGGGCAGCCAGAUCCUUCAGCUGAAGUAUGAGGGCACCUCAAUGACCUCAUGCAAAAUGGAAUUACAAGCCAAGAAAAAUCAGGAAAGAUGAAAGUGAGAGGUUGUCAGAUGAAGACAAGCGACAGGCGGAACCAGGGAGACAAAGCCUUCGGGGCAUCUGGGUACGUGUCCAGUGCCCAGAAAAGGACCAGGAGGAAUACAAUCCCAGCCCGCAUCCCAGACCCAGAGGGGACCUUACUCAUCAGCUCCUUCAACGCCUGGCUUCAGGCAGCGCCACCGCUCCGCCUCCAAGCGCAGAUGACUGCUGAUUUUUGGAGGGCUGCUUAAUUCUCCCUUAGACAUCAAAUUCUUGUGCCACAUUUUCAGGAAAGCUUGUUAACACAUCAUCACGGAUCCCUGGACAAUCUCCCCCAUGAUUCAAUGCCAGUGUGAGUAUUUCCAGCCGCUCUCAAGUCUGGAUCUCUCUUAGACAUCAAUAACCUAAGCUGUGCCCCGAAUACAACAAUACACUGCUGCCGCCGGCUCCUGCUGCCUCGCUGUGUGAAAAGACAAUCAACAGACCCGGUAAGGGUGUUGUGGGCAGGCUUCUCUAAUGUCCUGCUGGCGUUUCUAAGGGUUGGCUUAGGUCCGCAAAGAAAUCUGGUGAUGAAGGAAAAGCCUUGACAAAGUUCGUGUGCACGGAUCCAGUGACUCCAUUUCUAGAUGUCUCUGAAGGUCUUCAAAAACUCACAUAGAUACAGAUAUUCAUCAUAACAGUCAUAACAGGAAAUGAGAAAAAUCCUCAAUAUUCAAGACUGGGCAAAAGUAACUAAAUUACAGUAUAAACAGAAUGGAAUUUUAUGGAGAUAUGAACAACAAAAUUAAAAUGCCUUUUAAUGAUGUGAGAACUUAUCUCUAUUUUUGAGUUUCCUACAGUGGUUGUGUUAUAGUUACAAUAUAAAAAUGGCUUUUGAAGUACAUCAUAAAGCCUUAUGAGCUUAAGUGUGCGUGGGCCCAUAAAUUCUGAACAUCCAGUGGGAACGCUGAGCUCAUCUAAUCCCAGGUUCCCAUUUUACAGGUGAAGAGACUGAGGACCUGAGAAGUGCGAUGACUGUCCCUCGUCCCAGGGGUCUUCCACAAGAUUUAGAAGCAGAUCCCAGUUAGAUCCAAAGAGAUUCAGGAGCAGACCUCCUGCCUACAUGCCCCCUGCAGUGAGCAUUCCUCACCCUUGGGCAGGCGUCAGAUCCUCCUGGUGGACUUGUGGGAACAGAUGUCUGGGUCCAGCCCUGGAGUUUCUGGUUCAGCCAGCAAGAAAUGAGGGCCAAGAAUCUGCAUUGCUAAUAGGUUCCCAGGAGAGGCCGACGUUGCUGGUCUUGGGAAUACACUAUGAAAACUCUU